RNAcentral lists this ribosomal RNA (274 nucleotides) under uncultured bacterium. Its description in RNAcentral is "partial 16S ribosomal RNA". It matches the Rfam family "Bacterial small subunit ribosomal RNA", at positions 523 to 796 of the family's 1533-position model. The record is from RNAcentral.
AUACGGAGGGAGCUAGCGUUGUUCGGAAUUACUGGGCGUAAAGCGCGCGUAGGCGGCCUGUCAAGUUGGGUGUGAAAGCCCGGGGCUCAACCCCGGAAUUGCAUUCAAAACUGGCAAGCUAGAGACCGAGAGAGGUGAGUGGAAUUUCCAGUGUAGAGGUGAAAUUCGUAGAUAUUGGAAAGAACACCAGUGGCGAAGGCGGCUCACUGGCUCGGUACUGACGCUGAGGUGCGAAAGCGUGGGGAGCAAACCGGAUUAGAAUCCCCUGUAGUCC